AGUGAACGCUGGCGGUAGGCCUAACACAUGCAAGUCGAACGGCAGCACAGUAAGAGCUUGCUCUUACGGGUGGCGAGUGGCGGACGGGUGAGGAAUACAUCGGAAUCUACUUUUUCGUGGGGGAUAACGUAGGGAAACUUACGCUAAUACCGCAUACGACCUACGGGUGAAAGCAGGGGAUCUUCGGACCUUGCGCGAUUGAAUGAGCCGAUGUCGGAUUAGCUAGUUGGCUGGGUAAAGGCCCACCAAGGCGACGAUCCGUAGCUGGUCUGAGAGGAUGAUCAGCCACACUGGAACUGAGACACGGUCCAGACUCCUACGGGAGGCAGCAGUGGGGAAUAUUGGACAAUGGGCGCAAGCCUGAUCUAGCCAUACCGCGUGGGUGAAGAAGGCCUUCGGGUUGUAAAGCCCUUUUGUUGGGAAAGAAAAGCAGCAGGUUAAUACCCCGCUGUUCUGACGGUACCCAAAGAAUAAGCACCGGCUAACUUCGUG
RNAcentral lists this ribosomal RNA (492 nucleotides) under uncultured bacterium. RNAcentral's name for it is "partial 16S ribosomal RNA". It matches the Rfam family "Bacterial small subunit ribosomal RNA", at positions 29 to 507 of the family's 1533-position model. The record is from RNAcentral.